AUGUCGACCGAUGAAGAAGUGAAGGCGGAGGCGGCGGCGGCGCACUUCGUGUUCGUCCCGCUAAUGGCCCAGGGGCACAUCAUCCCUGCCGUCGACACCGCGCUGCUGCUGGCCACUCAAGGCGCGCUCUGCACCAUCGUCGCCACGCCGUCCACGGCGGCGCGGGUGCGCCCCACCGUCGAAUCCGCCCGGCGCUCCGGCCUGCCAGUCAGCCUCGUCGACUUCCCGCUCGACUACGCCGCGGUCGGCCUGCCCGACGGGGUUCCAGGCGGGGCGGACAACAUGGACAACCUCCCCCCGGAGUACAUGCUGGCCUACUUCUCCGCCGUCGCGCUCCUCCGGGGGCCGAUCAAGGCCCACCUCCGCGACCGCGCGCCCCGGCCACCGACAUGCAUCGUGUCCGACUUCUGCCACCCGUGGACCGUGGAGCUCGCGGCCAGCCUCGGCGUCCCCCGGCUCAGCUUCUUCAGCAUGUGCGCCUUCUGCGUCCUCUGCCAGCACAACGUCGAGAGGUUCAACGCCUACGACGGCGUGCUCGACUACAACCACCCGGUCGUCGUGCCGGGGCUGGAGAAGCGGUUCGAGGUGACGAGGGCGCAGGCCCCCGGCUUCUUCCGGGGCUGGCCCGGGUGGGAGAAGUUCGCCGACGACGUGGAGCGCGCGCGGGCCGAGGCCGACGGCGUCGUCAUGAACACCUUCGUGGAGAUGGAGCCCGAGUACGUCGCCGGCUACGCGGCCGCGAGGGCGAUGAAGGUGUGGACCGUGGGGCCGGUGUCUCUCUACCACCAACACGCCGCAACGCUGGCGGCGAGAGGGAACACCGCGGCAAUCGACACCGACGACUGCGUCCGGUGGCUCGACGACAGGGAGCCCGGCUCCGUGGUCUACGUCAGCUUCGGCAGCAUCGCGCACGCGGACCCGAAGCAGAUCUCGGAGCUCGGCCUGGGGCUGGAGGCGUCGGGCUACCCUUUCAUCUGGGUGGUCAAGGACGCCGGCCGCCACGACGAGGCCGCGCUCGCCUUCCUCCGCGAGCUCGAGGAGCGCGUCGCGGGGCGUGGACUGCUCGUCUGGGGGUGGGCGCCGCAGGCGCUCAUCCUGUCGCACCGCGCGGCGGGCGCGUUCGUGACGCACUGCGGCUGGAACUCGACGCUGGAGGCGGUCGCGGCGGGGCUGCCGGUGGUGACGUGGCCGCACUUCACGGACCAGUUCCUGAACGAGAAGAUGGCGGUGGAGGUGCUGGGGAUCGGCGUCAGCGUCGGGGUGAAGGAGCCAGUGAUGUACCGGAUGGAUGAGAAGGAUAUCGUGGUUGGGAGGGAGACGGUGGAGGCCGCGGUGAGGAGCGCCAUGGACGGCGGGGAGGAUGGCGAGGAGAGGCGCUGCAAGGCCCGUGCGCUCGCGGUGAAAGCGAGGGCGGCCAUGCGGGAGGGGGGCUCGUCGCACGCCAACAUCCGCGAUCUGGCCAAGAGUUUCCAGGUGGGCGCCACACAAGAUACCCCCGAGUGA
This 1503-nucleotide ribosomal RNA is filed under the name Triticum aestivum (bread wheat). RNAcentral's name for it is "partial small subunit ribosomal RNA". Lineage: Eukaryota; Viridiplantae; Streptophyta; Magnoliopsida; Poales; Poaceae. The record is from RNAcentral.